RNAcentral lists this ribosomal RNA (567 nucleotides) under Rhodococcoides fascians. Its description in RNAcentral is "bacterial SSU rRNA". It matches the Rfam family "Bacterial small subunit ribosomal RNA", at positions 243 to 822 of the family's 1533-position model. Lineage: Bacteria; Bacillati; Actinomycetota; Actinomycetes; Mycobacteriales; Nocardiaceae. The record is from RNAcentral.
AGCUUGUUGGUGGGGUAAUGGCCUACCAAGGCGACGACGGGUAGCCGACCUGAGAGGGUGACCGGCCACACUGGGACUGAGACACGGCCCAGACUCCUACGGGAGGCAGCAGUGGGGAAUAUUGCACAAUGGGCGGAAGCCUGAUGCAGCGACGCCGCGUGAGGGAUGAAGGCCUUCGGGUUGUAAACCUCUUUCAGCAGGGACGAAGCGUGAGUGACGGUACCUGCAGAAGAAGCACCGGCUAACUACGUGCCAGCAGCCGCGGUAAUACGUAGGGUGCGAGCGUUGUCCGGAAUUACUGGGCGUAAAGAGUUCGUAGGCGGUUUGUCGCGUCGUUUGUGAAAACCCGGGGCUCAACUUCGGGCUUGCAGGCGAUACGGGCAGACUUGAGUGUUUCAGGGGAGACUGGAAUUCCUGGUGUAGCGGUGAAAUGCGCAGAUAUCAGGAGGAACACCGGUGGCGAAGGCGGGUCUCUGGGAAACAACUGACGCUGAGGAACGAAAGCGUGGGUAGCAAACAGGAUUAGAUACCCUGGUAGUCCACGCCGUAAACGGUGGGCGCUAGGUG